GACGAACGCUGGCGGCGUGCUUAACACAUGCAAGUCGAACGCUGAAGGCCCAGCUUGCUGGUUGGAUGAGUGGCGAACGGGUGAGUAACACGUGAGUAACCUGCCCCCUUCUUUGGGAUAACGGUCGGAAACGGCUGCUAAUACCGGGUAUUCACUGUCCUUCGCAUGGGGGGUGGUGGAAAGGUUUUUUCUGGUGGGGGAUGGGCUCACGGCCUAUCAGCUUGUUGGUGGGGUGAUGGCUUACCAAGGCUUUGACGGGUAACCGGCCUGAGAGGGUGACCGGUCACAUUGGGACUGAGAUACGGCCCAGACUCCUACGGGAGGCAGCAGUGGGGAAUAUUGCACAAUGGGCGAAAGCCUGAUGCAGCGACGCCGCGUGAGGGAUGGAGGCCUUCGGGGUUGUAAACCUCUUUCGCUCAUGGUCAAGCCGCAACAGUGGUUGUGGUGAGGGUAGUGGGUAAAGAAGCACCGGCUAACUACGUGCCAGCAGCCGCGGUAAUACGUAGGGUGCGAGCGUUUGUCCGGAAUUAUUGGGCGUAAAGGGCUUGUAGGCGGCUUGUCGCGUCUGCCGUGAAAUCCUCUGGCUUAACUGGGGGGCGUGCGGUGGGUACGGGCAGGCUUGAAUGCGGUAGGGGAGACUGAACUCCUUGUGUAGCGUGAAUGCGCAGAUAUAGGGAGGACACGGUGGCGAAGCGGGUCUCUGGGCCGUUACUGACGCUGAGGAGCGAAGCUGGGGAGCGAACAG
This 745-nucleotide ribosomal RNA is filed under the name uncultured Actinomyces sp. RNAcentral describes it as "bacterial SSU rRNA". It matches the Rfam family "Bacterial small subunit ribosomal RNA", at positions 28 to 775 of the family's 1533-position model. The record is from RNAcentral. Lineage: Bacteria; Bacillati; Actinomycetota; Actinomycetes; Actinomycetales; Actinomycetaceae.